This 282-nucleotide long non-coding RNA is filed under the name Vigna radiata. Its description in RNAcentral is "long non-coding RNA (VRAD_LNC009981)". Lineage: Eukaryota; Viridiplantae; Streptophyta; Magnoliopsida; Fabales; Fabaceae. The record is from RNAcentral.
GAGACUNCAAUCAAAAAUUAAGCAAACAACCAAAAUAAAAGCACCGUGCUGCAUCCCUAUUUUCCAAGCAAUGAUUCUAAAAGAAAGAAAAGAUUUAGAUGCCAACACCUGACCGUGAGCAGCUUCCAAAUAUUUCAAUUGAAACAGUGUCCUGCACCGUACUACACUUCUUCAAUUCAAUUUCUGAAAUUUAAAUCAACCAAAAAAACAAAUGAAAAGGCAAUGAUUGGACCGUGCAUCACCAAGCAAGAAUGAAAAUUCCUCUCUUCAAUUGCCACCCCC